RNAcentral lists this unclassified non-coding RNA (343 nucleotides) under soil metagenome. RNAcentral's name for it is "partial contains 5.8S ribosomal RNA, internal transcribed spacer 2, and large subunit ribosomal RNA". The stretch from base 1 to 120 matches the Rfam family "5.8S ribosomal RNA", at positions 35 to 154 of the family's 154-position model. The record is from RNAcentral.
GAUGAAGAACGUAGCGAAACGCGAUAAGUAAUGUGAAUUGCAGAAUCCAGUGAAUCAUCGAAUCUUUGAACGCACAUUGCGCCCGCCAGCAUUCUGGCGGGCAUGCCUGUUCGAGCGUCAUUUCAACCCUCGACCUCCCCUUGGGGAGGUCGGCGUUGGGGACCGGCAGCACACCGCCGGCCCUGAAAUGGAGUGGCGGCCCGUCAGCGGCGACCUCUGCGCAGUAAUACAGCUCGCACCGGGACCCCGACGCGGCCACGCCGUAAAACACCCAACUUCUGAACGUUGACCUCGAAUCAGGUAGGACUACCCGCUGAACUUAAGCAUAUCAAUAAGCGGAGGA